This 996-nucleotide ribosomal RNA is filed under the name Triticum aestivum (bread wheat). Its description in RNAcentral is "partial small subunit ribosomal RNA". The record is from RNAcentral. Lineage: Eukaryota; Viridiplantae; Streptophyta; Magnoliopsida; Poales; Poaceae.
AUGGCAAGCCGGAAGCUCAAGCACUAUUUUCAGGGUCAUCCUAUCACAGUGGUUAGUUCAGCCCCUUUGGGAAAUAUCAUACAAAACAGAGAGGCGACUGGCCGGAUUGCCAAGUGGGCUAUUGAGCUCGGACCUCACGGGCUCAAGUAUACACCUCGCACGGCGAUUAAAUCUCAAGCACUCGUGGACUUCAUCAAUGAUUGGACAGAGUUGCAGGCACCAGAGGAAAAGCCAGCCAACACUUAUUGUACUAUUCACUUUGAUGGAUCCAGGCAAUUGGAGGGCUCGGGGGCUGGAGUCAUAUUAACUUCCCCACGAGGUGACAAGUUUUGUUAUGUUCUUCGCUCAAUGUUCCCUUGCACUAACAAUGCAGCUGAGUAUGAGGCCUUACUCCACGGUCUUAGGAUGGCUAAGGAAAUGAACUUAAGCCGGGUCAAGUGCUUCGGUGACUCAGACCUGGUGGCUCAACAGGUGUCUGGCACUUGGGAUUCUAAGGACCCACUCAUGGCUGCAUAUCGACGAGAGGUAGACAUAGUGGCUGGUCAUUUCAAGGGUUAUCAAGUUGACCAUAUAGACCGGAGAAAGAAUGAAGCGGCGGACGCUUUAAGUCGCCUAGGCUCUCAGCGUAAACCAGUCCCACCUAAUGUCUUUGUCGAUGUACUACAUAAUCCGUCGGUCAAGAUACCAACAGAGGAGGAGUUGGCUAUUCCUGACCCGGAGGCCCAGUUGGUGGCGGCUUUGCAUGUUACACCGGAUUGGACAGUCCCGUACUUGGCUUACAUGAACCGGGGCGAGUUACCGGAGGAUGAAACCUUGGCCCGGCAGAUAAUUCGGCAGUCCAAGUCAAUGACCAUUAUCAAUGGGGAGUUACAUCGUUACAACAUUACAGGAGUAAUUCAGCGUUGCGUGUCUCCUCAAGAGGGUUGUGAGAUUUUGCGAGAAAUCCACGAAGGAGAUUGUUGGUCACCACGCCGGUUCAAAAUCCUUGGUGGCUAA